CCCUGUAUCGAAAGUGACUGUGGGGUCAUGUGUCUCCAGGUCAUUGAUAAUGCAGGAACAUGAGUCUGAGAGCCUUUCCCUGUGUGUGAGGGAUCUGUGCCUUCUCACCCUGGUGCUCUCAAACA
Small nucleolar RNA from Neogobius melanostomus (round goby), 125 nucleotides. Its record names the gene SNORA71. It matches the Rfam family "Small nucleolar RNA SNORA71". From Rfam's summary of the family: The members of this family belong to the H/ACA class of snoRNAs which bind a number of proteins (including dyskerin, Gar1p and Nop10p) to form snoRNP complexes. This class of snoRNAs are thought to guide the sites of modification of uridines to pseudouridines by forming direct base pairing interactions with substrate RNAs. This family includes U71 (SNORA71), ACA39 (SNORA39) and ACA60 (SNORA60). The record is from Ensembl. Lineage: Eukaryota; Metazoa; Chordata; Actinopteri; Gobiiformes; Gobiidae.